UACGUAGGUGGCAAGCGUUGUCCGGAAUUAUUGGGCGUAAAGCGCGCGCAGGCGGUUUCUUAAGUCUGAUGUGAAAGCCCACGGCUCAACCGUGGAGGGUCAUUGGAAACUGGGGAACUUGAGUGCAGAAGAGGAAAGUGGAAUUCCGAGUGUAGCGGUGAAAUGCGUAGAGAUUUGGAGGAACACCAGUGGCGAAGGCGACUUUCUGGUCUGUAACUGACGCUGAGGCGCGAAAGCGUGGGGAGCAAACAGG
Molecule: ribosomal RNA, 253 nt
Filed under: uncultured bacterium
Lineage: Bacteria
Description: partial 16S ribosomal RNA
Rfam family: Bacterial small subunit ribosomal RNA
Source: RNAcentral